AUUUUCCGGUUGAUCCUGCCGGAGGCUACCGCAAUAGGGAUUCGACUAAGCCAUGCGAGUCAAGGUGUCUUCCGAGUAAGCGAACGGCUCAGUAACACGUAGGUAACCUAACCUCAGGACUGAGAUAACCCCGGGAAACUGGGGCUAAUAUUAUCUCAGAUAAGAAAGUACUGGAAUGUUCUUUUAUCCAAAGCUUUUGCGCCUGAGGAUGGGCCUGCGUCCGAUUAGGUUGUUGGUGGGGUAAUGGCCCACCAAGCCUACGAUCGGUACGGGCAGUGAGAGCUGAAGCCCGGAGUUGGGGACUGAGACAAGGCCCCAGGCCCUACGGGGCGCAGCAGGCGCGAAACCUCUGCAAUGCGGGAAACCGUGACAGGGGGAUCCCAAGUGCUCAUGCAUUGCAUGGGCUGUUCCUUGGUCUAAGUAACCAGAGGAGUAAGGGCUGGGCAAGACCGGUGCCAGCCGCCGCGGUAAUACCGGCAGCUCCAGUGCUAGCCGCGAUUAUUGGGCCUAAAGCGUUCGUAGCCGGAUAAGUAAGUCUUUGGUUAAAUCCUGCAACUUAACUGUGGGAAAUCUAGGGAUACUGCUUGUCUUGAGACCGGGAGAGGUUAGAGGUACUCCUAGGGUAGGGGUGAAAUCCUGUAAUCCUAGGGGGACCACCUGUGGCGAAGGCGUCUAACUGGAACGGGUCUGACGGUGAGGGACGAAACCUAGGGGAGCGAGCCGGAUUAGAUACCCGGGUAGUCCUAGGCGUAAAUGAUGCUUUGGUAAAGAGUGGGGGCAUCUACGAGAUGGCCCUGUGCUGUAGGGUAGCCGUUAAACUCGCCGCCUGGGGAGUACGGUCGCAAACAUAAACUUAAAGGAAUUGGCGGGGGAGCACCACAAGACUGAGCUGCGGUUCAAUUGGAUUCAACGCCGGAAAU
RNAcentral lists this ribosomal RNA (920 nucleotides) under uncultured euryarchaeote. RNAcentral's name for it is "bacterial SSU rRNA". It matches the Rfam family "Archaeal small subunit ribosomal RNA", at positions 1 to 925 of the family's 1478-position model. The record is from RNAcentral. Lineage: Archaea; Methanobacteriati; Methanobacteriota.